AGUGAACGCUGGCGGUAGGCCUAACACAUGCAAGUCGAACGGCAGCACAGUAAGAGCUUGCUCUUACGGGUGGCGAGUGGCGGACGGGUGAGGAGUACAUCGGAAUCUACUUUUUCGUGGGGGAUAACGUAGGGAAACUUACGCUAAUACCGCAUACGACCUACGGGUGAAAGCAGGGGAUCUUCGGACCUUGCGCGAUUGAAUGAGCCGAUGUCGGAUUAGCUAGUUGGCGGGGUAAAGGCCCACCAAGGCGACGAUCCGUAGCUGGUCUGAGAGGAUGAUCAGCCACACUGGACCUGAGACACGGUCCAGCCUCCUACGGGAGGCAGCGGUGGGGAAUAUUGGACAAUGGGCGCAAGCCUGCUCCAGCCAUCCCGCGUGGGUGAAGAAGGCCUUCGGGUUGUAAAGCCCUUUUGUUGGGAAAGAAAAGCAGCAGGUUAAUACCCCGCUGUUCUGACGGUACCCAAAGAAUAAGCACCGGCUAACUUCGU
This 491-nucleotide ribosomal RNA is filed under the name uncultured bacterium. RNAcentral's name for it is "partial 16S ribosomal RNA". It matches the Rfam family "Bacterial small subunit ribosomal RNA", at positions 29 to 506 of the family's 1533-position model. The record is from RNAcentral.